AGUGGGAAGAAAUCAAUACCUUCUCUUGGCUUUUCUGAUGCUGUUGCUGUAGAAAGUACAGUUGUUUCGCCAUACUGAAUAAAUGCUGCACCAUUUGCCUGUGCUGCCACACGACCUACGUCAACACGCAAAGUUCUGCCGGCCAGUUCCAUUGUAAAUGUCUUUGUCAUUUCAUAUCUCCUUAUUCUUUUAUUGUUAAGACAGGAACCCGAAACUACUGAUAAAGCUCUAUUGACACAGGGACUUAUCAGUGGUCUCGGAUACUUCAGCUGUCAUUUAACCAAACAUU
Molecule: non-coding RNA, 289 nt
Filed under: human gut metagenome
Source: RNAcentral